This 341-nucleotide ribosomal RNA is filed under the name uncultured bacterium. RNAcentral's name for it is "bacterial SSU rRNA". It matches the Rfam family "Bacterial small subunit ribosomal RNA", at positions 28 to 371 of the family's 1533-position model. The record is from RNAcentral.
GACGAACGCUGGCGGCGUGCUUAACACAUGCAAGUCGAGCGGUAAGGCCCUUUCGGGGGUACACGAGCGGCGAACGGGUGAGUAACACGUGGGUGACCUGCCCUCAGCUCUGGGAUAAGCCUGGGAAACCGGGUCUAAUACUGGAUAUGACUCCAUGACGCAUGUUGUGGGGUGGAAAGCCUUGUGCGGCUGAGGAUGGGCCCGCGGCCUAUCAGCUUGUUGGUGGGGUGAUGGCCUACCAAGGCGGCGACGGUAGCCGGCCUGAGAGGGCGACCGGCCACACUGGGACUGAGACACGGCCCAGACUCCUACGGGAGGCAGCAGUGGGGAAUCUUGCGCAA